CUCUUCCGAUGCGUCCGUCCAUCGUCGUCGAUGGGGUUCUGCUCCUUCCGCGGCCUCGCCUCCCCUUUCGUCGGAUAUCACCUGUCGCGCGCCCUACUAGAAUACUAAUCCGGACCCCGAUGCUGCAGUGUCCCCCCUCGCCCGCCUCCUAACACUCGCUGAACCGAGUUCGUUCCAUAAUCUCGACGCACCAGUGUGCAGCUCAUGGUGAAGAAACGGAGGUUGGGGUCGAUUACGUGGCGUUGCUCCGCAACGGAUGAAUCAAUCAGUGGGGAGACAGGUGCUUGCUCCCGGUUCCUGGUAGCGGCGGAACUCGGAGGUUCGCCCGGUGGGCGUCUACAGGUGAUUAUCUCGUUCUAUCGACGUCCGGUUCCCCUUAUUUCGGAUUCCUGCUGCUACUACGGUGCUUGCGAGAUUUAUCAGAUUGAUUAAUUAAAUGACGGUUGUUUCACUAACAUAUUUGAGCUACUCCUUCGAAAUGCGCUUAGGCUCCGUUUGGAUGUAGACAUCCAUAGAAUUGAAAUGGAUCCAAAUACCAAUUCUACCUCGGUAUUGAAAUGGACCUCAAUUCUGUGCAAAUCAGAGGGGUAGCCCUCGGAAUUGACGGCGUGUGUGCUGCAAUUCCACCUCGGUAUUGACGUGCAAUUCCACCGUCGAAUUCCGGCGCCAACCAAACAACAGUAUUCGUACAGACAAAUGCCAAUUCCGAAUUCCACGCUGCAAUACUGACUUCCAAACGCUGGGUUAGCCAAUUUUGAAAAUGUCGAAUUCCUUUGGUAAACUCGAUUCGGUCGUUGUCGGAUAAGGUAGUCCGAUUCGAAUCCGGAUAUUCUUUCCAUUAUAUAUGUCAGAUGAUUGUAAGUAGUAGGUUAGUAGCACCUGCAGGUGAGCUACAAUCCUUUUUUAUCUUAUGCAGAAACUACUUUUAGGUCUCCUUUGGAAUGCUAUAAAAAAUUUUACAUGAAUUAGUUCAAAAACACAAGAAAAACGCAAGAUUCAGGAAUUUAUACUUCAACCCAAAGGAGGCCUUACUUACAAAAGUAUAGAGCCAGAUGCACUAUUGUUUAACUUCAAAAAAAUGGGAACAUGUCCAAUGUAAUAAUCAUGUUGGUCAAAAUCCAGUAGUAACUGAUUUUUUAGAUAAAGGAACAUCGUUCCGACCUCUUCACCCUCAUGGAUGAAUGGGGCCAAAGUAGUAACUGGUAUUUUAGGUCGAAGGAGUUAAAUGUAAAAUAGGUGGUAUGUAUCAGAUGGAAGAGUUAGAUAUAAAAUAGCAGUCACAUUUAGAUUUUGCUUGGAUGCACCAUGCGAACUGAACUGACGAACCACUGAUGACCCUGUUGUUGGUUACAAGGUACUAACCUAUUAAUCUCUGGUGUUGACCUUCCUACAGAAAGCUAGGUGAUCUCUUGAAUCGAUUCAGGAAAUAUGGAGUUUUCUUUUCUGCUGAUACAAUGCUGAAGGUGGGGUCAAUGUCACUGCAGUGACUUGGGUGACCUAUAAGCACUGCUCAUAUUGUGAGGUUCUCUUGGAUAUUCAGGAAGGAGCCGCAGAUGUUCCCGCCAAGAUCUGGGAAUGUGGCACACCCAGACAGAGGAUUCACCUUGCCCCUGGAAUC
Molecule: long non-coding RNA, 1618 nt
Filed under: Zea mays
Lineage: Eukaryota; Viridiplantae; Streptophyta; Magnoliopsida; Poales; Poaceae
Description: long non-coding RNA (ZMAY_LNC000740)
Source: RNAcentral